Molecule: ribosomal RNA, 573 nt
Filed under: Fusarium solani
Lineage: Eukaryota; Fungi; Ascomycota; Sordariomycetes; Hypocreales; Nectriaceae
Description: eukaryotic LSU rRNA
Rfam family: 5.8S ribosomal RNA (bases 186-339)
Source: RNAcentral
GNNNNNCNGUNNGGNGANCNGCGGAGGGAUCAUUACCGAGUUAUACAACUCAUCAACCCUGUGAACAUACCUAAAACGUUGCUUCGGCGGGAACAGACGGCCCUGUAACAACGGGCCGCCCCCGCCAGAGGACCCCUAACUCUGUUUUUAUAAUGUUUUUCUGAGUAAACAAGCAAAUAAAUUAAAACUUUCAACAACGGAUCUCUUGGCUCUGGCAUCGAUGAAGAACGCAGCGAAAUGCGAUAAGUAAUGUGAAUUGCAGAAUUCAGUGAAUCAUCGAAUCUUUGAACGCACAUUGCGCCCGCCAGUAUUCUGGCGGGCAUGCCUGUUCGAGCGUCAUUACAACCCUCAGGCCCCCGGGCCUGGCGUUGGGGAUCGGCGGAAGCCCCCUGUGGGCACACGCCGUCCCUCAAAUACAGUGGCGGUCCCGCCGCAGCUUCCAUUGCGUAGUAGCUAACACCUCGCAACUGGAGAGCGGCGCGGCCAUGCCGUAAAACACCCAACUUCUGAAUGUUGACCUCGAAUCAGGUAGGAAUACCCGCUGAACUUAAGCAUAUCAAUAAGNCGGAGGAA